Molecule: ribosomal RNA, 1402 nt
Filed under: uncultured bacterium
Lineage: Bacteria
Description: bacterial SSU rRNA
Rfam family: Bacterial small subunit ribosomal RNA
Source: RNAcentral
AGAGUUUGAUCCUGGCUCAGGAUGAACGCUAGCGACAGGCUUAACACAUGCAAGUCGAGGGGCAGCAGGGGAGUAGCAAUACUCCCGCUGGCGACCGGCGCACGGGUGAGUAACACGUAUGCAACCUGCCCUUGUCAGGGGGAUAAGCGGAAGAAAUUCCGUCUAAUACCGCAUAAUGCUGCGGGGAGACAUCUCCCUGCAGCCAAAGAUUUAUCGGACAAGGAUGGGCAUGCGGCGCAUUAGCUGGUUGGCGGGGUAACGGCCCACCAAGGCGACGAUGCGUAGGGGUUCUGAGAGGAAGGUCCCCCACACUGGUACUGAGACACGGACCAGACUCCUACGGGAGGCAGCAGUGAGGAAUAUUGGUCAAUGGCCGGGAGGCUGAACCAGCCAAGUCGCGUGAGGGAAGACGGUCCUAUGGAUUGUAAACCUCUUUUGUCAGGGAGCAAAAACUGCCACGCGUGGCAGGAUGAGAGUACCUGAAGAAAAAGCAUCGGCUAACUCCGUGCCAGCAGCCGCGGUAAUACGGAGGAUGCGAGCGUUAUCCGGAUUUAUUGGGUUUAAAGGGUGCGUAGGCGGACAGUUAAGUCAGCGGUAAAAUUGAGAGGCUCAACCUCUUCCCGCCGUUGAAACUGAUUGUCUUGAGUGGGCGAGAAGUAUGCGGAAUGCGUGGUGUAGCGGUGAAAUGCAUAGAUAUCACGCAGAACUCCGAUUGCGAAGGCAGCAUACCGGCGCCCAACUGACGCUGAGGCACGAAAGCGUGGGUAUCGAACAGGAUUAGAUACCCUGGUAGUCCACGCAGUAAACGAUGAAUACUAAUUGUUCGGGUCAAAUGAGAUCUGAGUGAUACAGCGAAAGCGUUAAGUAUUCCACCUGGGGAGUACGCCGGCAACGGUGAAACUCAAAGGAAUUGACGGGGGCCCGCACAAGCGGAGGAACAUGUGGUUUAAUUCGAUGAUACGCGAGGAACCUUACCCGGGCUCAAACGACACAGGAAUGAUCUGAGAAAUCAGGCAGUCCUCCGGGACCUGUGUCGAGGUGCUGCAUGGUUGUCGUCAGCUCGUGCCGUGAGGUGUCGGCUUAAGUGCCAUAACGAGCGCAACCCCCAUCGACAGUUGCCAGCAGGUGAAGCUGGGCACUCUGUCGAGACUGCCGGCGCAAGCUGUGAGGAAGGCGGGGAUGACGUCAAAUCAGCACGGCCCUUACGUCCGGGGCGACACACGUGUUACAAUGGCCGGUACAGCGGGAAGCCAGGCGGCGACGCCGAGCGGAACCCGAAAACCGGUCUCAGUUCGGAUCGGAGUCUGCAACCCGACUCCGUGAAGCUGGAUUCGCUAGUAAUCGCGCAUCAGCCAUGGCGCGGUGAAUACGUUCCCGGGCCUUGCACUCACCGCCCGUCAAG